AUUCCAGCUCCAAUAGCGUAUAUUAAAGUUGUUGCAGUUAAAAAGCUCGUAGUUGGAUUUCUGAUUGAGACAUCAGGUCGGGUCCGAGAGGAUCAUGUACUUUGAUUUGUUUUGAUCAUCCUUGGGGAGAGCAAUUCUGGCAUUAAGUUGUCGGGGUUGGGAUCCUCAUCGUUUACUGUGAAAAAAUUAGAGUGUUCAAAGCAGGCCUCGGCCUCUGAAUACAUUAGCAUGGAAUAAUAAGAUAGGACUUUGGAGGUCUAUUUUGUUGGUUUGCACGCCAAAGUAAUGAUUAAUAGGGAUAGUUGGGGGUAUUCGUAUUCAAUUGUCAGAGGUGAAAUUCUUGGAUUUAUGGAAGACGAACUACUGCGAAAGCAUUUACCAAGGAUGUUUUCAUUA
RNAcentral lists this ribosomal RNA (396 nucleotides) under Stramenopiles sp. MOCH-3. RNAcentral describes it as "partial small subunit ribosomal RNA". It matches the Rfam family "Eukaryotic small subunit ribosomal RNA", at positions 582 to 975 of the family's 1831-position model. The record is from RNAcentral.